Molecule: long non-coding RNA, 655 nt
Organism: Lepisosteus oculatus (spotted gar)
Lineage: Eukaryota; Metazoa; Chordata; Actinopteri; Semionotiformes; Lepisosteidae
Source: RefSeq, a predicted model, not a curated record
GGCUAUAUUGCCUCACCCCAAUGAUGUCAAGAGCAGGCCAGAAGUAUAGGAAAGAACAUGUGACAGACCAUGUGACUGCACACAGCAGAGAGUCAGGACCCUAUGCAGACGGUAAAAUCCGGAAGAGACCAGAGAAGGGUAACAGGGAAACACGACAGGAUCAGGAUGGGAUGACUGAUGGGGGGGCAUGAAGGCAGUGUUCCGGUGCUCGGGGGGCGUGGCACAGGCAAACAAGUCCAGAACUAUCCAGAAGGGGAAACCAGGAAGCAGUCCAAAAGUCCAUAACCGGGAGAUCCAUCCGAAACAAAAACUAGACAAGGAUAAAAAUGUGGAAGAGCACCCAUAAGAGGAGGGAUUACGAUCGUGACACAUGGAAUGUCCUAAGGGUUCUUAACUUCCUGAAAUGAUAGAAACACCCUGUUCAAAGUUCAGGAACUCCCAUGUGAGUCAGACUUCACCAGGGAAACAGCACAACUUCCUUUCCUGCUACUUCCUCUUGUCCACAACCCAUGAUUGUCACUCCCUGUUACUACGGCAGCCCUGCACAGACCACAAGGAAAAUUUCUUUCUUUCCAUAAAUAAGUAGUACUUUAACAAUUUGUAGUUAAUACAGAAGUAUACAAGAGGUUACGGUCUGAGGUUUCACAAAUCUCAA